Long non-coding RNA from Neltuma alba, 574 nucleotides. RefSeq lists it as uncharacterized. Lineage: Eukaryota; Viridiplantae; Streptophyta; Magnoliopsida; Fabales; Fabaceae. The record is from RefSeq and is a predicted model, not a curated record. The transcript is spliced from 3 exons.
UCAGUUAAUCAAAUGCAAGCAAUGUCUUCAACUCCAGUAUUAGCUCUCUACCGGAUUUUUCCCAGCCUUUCAUUGUGGAAACCGACGCCUCGGGCACUAGAUUAGGGGCGGUUUUAAUGCAGUCUGGACGUCCAGUUGCUUAUUAUAGUCAUUCUUUGUCAGCUCGACGUAGAACCUGUUCUGUUUAUGAGAGAGAACUAAUGGCCAUUGUCUUUGCAGUGAGGAAAUGGCGCUAUUAUCUUUUGGGUCGACCAUUUAUUAUGCGGACAGAUCAAAAAGCCCUUAAGUUCCUCUUGGAACAGCGAAUUCUAGAUGACUCACAGCAAGGGUGGGUGACCAAACUCAUGGGGUACACUUUUCAGAUUCAGUACAAACCAGGGAAGACUAAUUCUGCUGCUGACGCCCUGUCUCGACAGCAGGAGCACGUGGGGCUCAAUGCCAUUACUAUGGCUCAGUCAGACGAUCUGAAUACCUGGGACUCUGAAGUCCAAAAGGACGACACUCUAGCUGGCAUAAUACAGCAGCUGGCUACUGGUCAACCGACUAUUUCAGGGUAUGCUCUCAAAGGUGGUCA